Molecule: ribosomal RNA, 468 nt
Filed under: uncultured bacterium
Lineage: Bacteria
Description: partial 16S ribosomal RNA
Rfam family: Bacterial small subunit ribosomal RNA
Source: RNAcentral
GACGAACGCUGGCGGCGUGCUUAACACAUGCAAGUCGAACGGAAAGGCCCUGCUUUUGUGGGGUGCUCGAGUGGCGAACGGGUGAGUAACACGUGAGUAACCUGCCCUUGACUUUGGGAUAACUUCAGGAAACUGGGGCUAAUACCGGAUAGGAGCUCCUGCUGCAUGGUGGGGGGUGGAAAGUUUCGGCGGUUGGGGAUGGACUCGCGGCUUAGCAGCUUGUUGGUGGGGUAGUGGCUUACCAAGGCUUUGACGGGUAGCCGGCCUGAGAGGGUGACCGGCCACAUUGGGACUGAGAUACGGACCAGACUCCUACGGGAGGCAGCAGUGGGGAAUAUUGCACAAUGGGCGGAAGCCUGAUGCAGCAACGCCGCGUGCGGGAUGACGGCCUUCGGGUUGUAAACCGCUUUCGCCUGUGACGAGGCGUGAGUGACGGUAAUGGGUAAAGAAGCACCGGCUAACUACGUG